CCCAAUCCCCACAACCGCAAUUCCCACAGCCGCAUGCCCACAUCCCUCCCUCCUCCCUCGUCUCAGCCGCCACCCCACGAACCCUAGCCGCGCCCUACUACAUCUGUCCUCCUUCCCCCCUCCCUGGUCCGCCCCAAGCCCCUCCUCCUCCGCCCUCACAUGCUCCACCCUGAGCACACCGGCAGCGAAGUGCACCGCGAGGCCCCGAAGCAACUCAGCCAAAGCCCCUCCGUACAGGAGGAACCCCGCGGCCAGCGCAGCCAACAACGACACGUACAAGAGGUCGGCCUUGAUGGGUUGCGCGCCGUACGCGAGGGUCAUGUCCACACUGGAGGGCAGCAACGUGCACAUGGCGCGGUACGUGGAGGUGCGCAGGGAGAAGGUGCACGGCUCCGCCUAGCACCAUGUGUGCGGCAGCGGGGACAGGCGGCCACGGGCAGAUUUUGGGGAGCGGCACGAGCAUCUAGCAAUGGCUGAUGCCAAGGCAUGCCAAGAUCAAGGAUAUUUAUACUUGUUUCUUCUAUCGAUGAAAGAUUUCAGAUACUUUUGUAGAUGAAUUUCUGGGCUAAGAUAAAUGAUGUUGCUCCACAAAAUUAUCUCCUUAGUUGCAUUCCAUUUAUAGUUCAUGUUCAUGGCCUUGCUGUGGUUGCAUCAUGGUCCGUGGGGAAUAGAAACAAAUACCUUUGCUACAACCGAGGUCUUGACAGACCAGUCAGGGAGAUAUAGGUUCGGAUCAAUUUUUUUUCAUAAUUUUGCAGGGGUUGAUAUGCUCUAUCCCUUGAGGAAGAAAUGAAGUUGAGGGGAGGCUAUUGCAUGCUGGAAAAUCAGUUGGUGUUGUCUAUGUUGGUUUCAGGAAGAAAAGGACCGGCAAAUUGAUGGCUCAGGCAUGUCAUACAAAGUACCUUGUUGUAUCUAGCAGAUUGCGAGGAUUCCCUUCUGUUGUAAGAUGAAAACCUGGUUAUAUGUUGCAUCUCAAAAUCAAGAUGUUCAUUCGAGAAGAGAAAGGAGUUGUCGGUGUGUCGUGGUGCGCGACCUUGUCCCGGAGUAUGCAUUUUAUAUAAAGUAAUGUGUAUCAAUGCUUUCUCAUACAUAUGAUUCUGAAGUAAUAGAGAGCAGGAAGUGGCAGGCUUAAUUUCAAUUAGAUAAAUAGGUGUACUGCAGCAUCAUAUAUUUAGGUAAUCCCUUUUAUUUUUCUUGCCAGGUUCAUGCUAUAUACAUUGUGUAUAUGCACAUAAAGUACACCCACAUAAACUGUAGUUUGUAGUAUCAGCAGCAAACAGAGGUGCAGCUAAGUAGUAGCAUGUCCCUAUUAUAAAUGGGUAGAAAAAUAAGAGCUUAUCAAAAGAACAGUAUCUCCGUUACAUGAUAAGGAUGAAUGUUUGAUGUUAUGCAUAUGUGUAAAAGCACUCCACUAUCAUGCAAAUAGUAUCAUGUUCAGAGCCUUAAUAAUGGCAGUUGUAAACCCAAAAUAAUCCAUCUUAUAAUUUAGGAUAUAGUAUAGAUUCCGGUGAGAACCACUCCAAUAAGAAUGCUAGCUGCUACUAUAUAUCUAAUUGGUCCCAGAUUGAAAAUCUUAGCUGUUAAUCUCUGAAUGCAGUAUGCACUUGUGCUGAAACAUAGAGCAUGUGUGGUGUUGCUCUGUACAUGAAUGAAAAAUCUCAGUUAUUAAUCUGUAAAUGAAGAAUGAUCAUGGUUCCCCACCUCUCUACUACUCAUAGUAAUGCCACCCUUUGCUAAUUUAUCUUUGGUUGUUCAAUGCAUGAUAACAUUUUUUGAAUUUGCAACAUAUGAUACCUUCAUCUUCUGAGUAGGAAGUCACUGGGCAAAAUUUUGCUGAUCAGAUGUAUGUAUAGUAUAAUAAUAGCAUAAUAAUAGCAGGUGAUAUACUAUAAUUGCCAUAUUAUUGAGCUUGAUAUCAUGUUUGAACUAGACAAAUAAUUUUGACAGGAUUUUAUCCUGGCAUAAACAUGCUGACAUAGUGUCAACAUAAUAACAGAAAAACCUUUUCGAAAUUCAACAUUAUAGAAUAUAAAGCAAGACAAAGUUAUCUCCUUGAAAUUUCUUUGACAACAUUCUAGAACAUGUGCCGGAUUCUAUUCGUUGAACCAAUAUUCUUCCAAUAUUUUGCAAGCCUAGAUAGUUUGAUAUCCCUAAAUGAUAAAUUCAGUUAAGGAAGCAACCAACUUAGCUAUCGUAUUGUCGGUUCUUUGACUAAAUUACUUUUGUGAGUAACAGUAUUUUAUUAGAAAUUGUUUCACUACCUGUUGUUCUUUAUAUUAGAUUUCGAAAAAAGCCAAGGCAGUAAGUCAACUAUUAGUUUGACUGAUUAUCAUAUUUCUUCUUGCACUUAAACUGCUUGACAGGUUGAUCCAGAUGAAGUAAAUGCACUUGCUCAACUGGUGACAUAGAAGACUGCCCAUUACGGCGGUACCAUAUGGUGGAGUGAAGGGAGGAACAGGGUACUCGUCUGGUGAUUUAAGUAGGAGUGAGUUGGAGCAUCUAAUGCGUGUAUUUACUCAGAAAAAUUGUGAUCUUACCGGAACUCAUACCUAUAUUCUAGCUCCAGCCAUGGGAACUAAUUCACAGUUAUGUUAUGCAAUUUCGGUGUCUUUUCUACCGUUUACUACCUUCCUAUGCUCUGCAACUAACUCUAUCUAAAACCAGGGCUGCUUUUUAUAGGUAUGUUUAUGCCCCUUAUGCCAUUAUUUUAAAUGUUUCUUUACUGUAUUGCUUAUGAAUAGAUACAAAGUUUUUUUAUGUACUGUACUAUCCAGUGCGGAUAAAAACAACUUUGAUCCUCCCUUUGGUGUCUCCAUGGAUGCAUAUAUGUAUUUAUUGUUCAUAUCGCAGAAUAAGGAUAAAUGUUUCGUUGGCAAAAUAUGAUCCUUCUAGAUAUCUUGUUGUACAAAUAAUCUCUCUUUAUGUAUCAUUGUUACUUUUGUUUCUGCUUGGUGUAUUUAACCUUACUUUUCAUGGUCAUUGCCUCAUGGUUCUGCUUCUACUGCAGGUUGUAGUACGUCAGUGAUGAUGAAAAGAUACUCGCUGUGUGUAUCAACUGUUUGACAAAGGUAUCUCAUGUACCGAGUGUUCUAAGAGACAAUGCACCCUCACUACCCUAGGCAGGCAGCUGUAGUGCGUUUGCAUUUGUUUCACUUUUAGUUUCUAUGGGGAGAAUUUUCAUUAUUAUCAACAUAGACAUACAAAUUAACCAGUUUCAGAAAAUCAUCUGGCUAACUGAAAAAGAAAAAAGAGAUCCAAAUUAUCUAUUUGGUAGGGCUGAUUUUAAUACUCAAUGUGUUCAAUACAGAACUGACAAACAACAAACUUUGGUUACCUACAAAUUCGUAUAAGCCUGAAGUGUGCUAAUCCCCUUGAAAGUUAAAUAUCAAAGCAAGUAUCAAGAAUCUUAUUAGCUCAACCUAAAAUGUUGCUGUGCGUCAUACUUCUUAAUAUCAAAGUUAAAUGCUAUAUCUUCUGGAUGCCUCCCUUUCUACUGCUGACCAUAGGUAAUUCUGAGUUAAGUGAUAACUAUCUUGCAUGACCAAAUUUCUUAAAAUUUUGUAUAUUUCGUAAUGCUCCUUUAACUUCUAAUAUCUAAGGCGUCCCAUGAGAAACUAGGUCUAUGGAACGCCAAGGUCGCAGGUCGCUAACUCAGUUGUAUGAGGAUCUUGUUUUCAUUGUCUCUCUUUGAUAUCAAACAAUACAUGUCCUACAAAUCCGAGAUCCAGGCAGCCUUGUUGUGGUACAAAGAAUUGGUGCAUUUUUAUAGUUCUGGAAUGUGCUUCUAAUUCAUAUUUGCUGGUUCUUUCAGCUUAUGAUCCAUCUGUAGAUAAGUCAUUACCGUUCCUGUUCAAGAGAUAUAUGGAUGGCAAUGAUCAUAUAACAAAAUAUUGCGGGACCAGGCUUGGCCUUGCAGUCUGCAAACAGUUGGUAUCAAUUUGUUCAGUCCAAAUCCUUGGUUCAUCUAGAAAACAACACUAGGAUUAAGGUGUUUUUGCCUUCAUAUGUGUAAAAAUUGUGUAACGCUUAUUUGAUUUUUCAUGAUGAAUUAGGUGGACUUGAUGGGUGGUACUCUCACUGCUUAGCAAAGAGAAAUGAUUGAAUAAAGGCUCAACAUUUAUAGUCAUGCUGCCCUGCACAAUUCCUGCAAGAGAUGUCGAGUGAUGAUCUUGGUAACGGGCAAAACUCCUGUAACAAAACUUUUUGCGAGUACUACAUUGGUUUGACUGCUGAAAUACCACGCUUCGGAAAAAAAGGCAAAAAUGUUUUACGUCCGAGGCAUGGGAAGUAUAGACUAAAGAAUGUGGUUUAAAGUUUCCCUAUUUUGUUAGAUUAGCUAAGGUGUUGAUUUGUUGAUUCAUGUGAGCGAUGUAUGUAAUCAAGAAUCAAGAAAGCAUACCAGUAUAUUGCAAUUCCUAAACUUACAAAAAUGAGAAGGAUGCAAGGAUGCCCAAACCUAUAGAUUUGUAAUUGACAUUUAGCACUACAUGUUGCCACUGAGUAAUUUUUCAUGUAAUGUUCUUAUAUAAAUAUGUUUUUU
Molecule: long non-coding RNA, 4540 nt
Organism: Triticum aestivum (bread wheat)
Lineage: Eukaryota; Viridiplantae; Streptophyta; Magnoliopsida; Poales; Poaceae
Exons: 5
Source: RefSeq, a predicted model, not a curated record